Molecule: ribosomal RNA, 447 nt
Filed under: uncultured bacterium
Lineage: Bacteria
Description: partial 16S ribosomal RNA
Rfam family: Bacterial small subunit ribosomal RNA
Source: RNAcentral
AACGAACGCUGGCGGCAGGCUUAACACAUGCAAGUCGAGCGCCCCGCAAGGGGAGCGGCAGACGGGUGCGUAACGCGUGGGAACAUACCCUUUGGUUCGGAAUAACUCAGGGAAACUUGAGCUAAUACCGGAUAAGCCCUUCGGGGGAAAGAUUUAUCGCCAUAGGAUUGGCCCGCGUCUGAUUAGCUAGUUGGUGAGGUAACGGCUCACCAAGGCGACGAUCAGUAGCUGUUCUGAGAGGAUGAUCAGCCACACUGGGACUGAGACACGGCCCAGACUCCUAAGGGAGGCAGCAGUGGGGAAUAUUGGACAAUGGGCGCAAGCCUGAUCCAGCCAUGCCGCGUGAGUGAUGACGGCCUUAGGGUUGUAAAGCUCUUUCGCUAGGGACGAUAAUGACGGUACCUAGAUAAGAAGCCCCGGCUAACUUCGUGCCAGCCGCCGCAGUAA